Molecule: ribosomal RNA, 253 nt
Filed under: uncultured bacterium
Lineage: Bacteria
Description: partial 16S ribosomal RNA
Rfam family: Bacterial small subunit ribosomal RNA
Source: RNAcentral
UACGGAGGGGACUAGCGUUGUUCGGAAUUACUGGGCGUAAAGCGCACGUAGGCGGAUUUGUAAGUCAGGGGUGAAAUCCUGGAGCUCAACUCCAGAACUGCCUUUGAUACUGGGAAUCUCGAGUCCGGGAGAGGUGAGUGGAACUGCGAGUGUAGAGGUGAAAUUCGUAGAUAUUCGCAAGAACACCAGUGGCGAAGGCGGCUCACUGGCCCGGUACUGACGCUGAGGUGCGAAAGCGUGGGGAGCAAACAGG